AGCAGAGUGGCGCAGUGGAAGCGUGCUGGGCCCAUAACCCAGAGGUCCGAUGAUCGAAAUCUUGCUCUGCUA
Non-coding RNA from Nematostella vectensis (starlet sea anemone), 72 nucleotides. Lineage: Eukaryota; Metazoa; Cnidaria; Anthozoa; Actiniaria; Edwardsiidae. The record is from Rfam.